CCUACGGGAUGCAGCAGUGAGGAAUAUUGGUCAAUGGACGAGAGUCUGAACCAGCCAAGUAGCGUGAAGGAUGACUGCCCUAUGGGUUGUAAACUUCUUUUAUAAAGGAAUAAAACGAGGCACGUGUGCCUUUUUGCAUGUACUUUAUGAAUAAGGAUCGGCUAACUCCGUGCCAGCAGCCGCGGUACUACGGCGGAUCCGAGCGUUAUACGGAUUUCUUGGGUUUAAAGGGAGCGUAGAUGGGUUGUUAAGUCAGUUGUGAAAGUUUGCGGCUCAACCGUAAAAUUGCAAUUGAUACUGGCAGUCUUGAGGACGGUAGAGGUAAGCGGAAUGCGUGGUGUAGCGGUGAAAUGCUUAGAUAUCACGAAGAACCCCGAUUGCGAAGGCAGCUUACUAAACUGUGACUGACAUUGAUGCUCGAAAGUGUGGGUAUCAAACAGGAGUAGAUACCCGGGUAGUC
RNAcentral lists this ribosomal RNA (460 nucleotides) under uncultured bacterium. Its description in RNAcentral is "partial 16S ribosomal RNA". It matches the Rfam family "Bacterial small subunit ribosomal RNA", at positions 338 to 795 of the family's 1533-position model. The record is from RNAcentral.